UUGAGAACGUGCCCUCUGGGGUACAUCUCCCACCCUUCGUGAACCUUAGCUUUGUUGCUUUGGCAGGCCCGUCUCCGGACCGCUGGCUUCGGCUGGCCCGUGCCUGUCAGAGGAUGAUUCAAAACGCUUUGUUUAUGUUGUCCGAGUCUUAUGCAAUCGUUA
Molecule: unclassified non-coding RNA, 162 nt
Filed under: uncultured Helotiales
Lineage: Eukaryota; Fungi; Ascomycota; Leotiomycetes; Helotiales
Description: sequence contains ITS1
Source: RNAcentral